This is a long non-coding RNA of Gossypium raimondii (Peruvian cotton), 557 nucleotides long. RefSeq lists it as uncharacterized. NCBI's taxonomy places the organism in Eukaryota, Viridiplantae, Streptophyta, Magnoliopsida, Malvales, Malvaceae. The record is from RefSeq and is a predicted model, not a curated record. The transcript is spliced from 2 exons.
GAGAGCUAAUAUCGACCGUGGAUGAGAAGUGAGAAAACAAUCGGAGGGUUCCAAACAAUUGCUUAUAUAUAGAAAGAGAAAAUAAAAAACAUUGAAAAUGGCGCAUUAAAUCAAUCAAGAACAUUCCACCUGUUAGAUAGCAAAUAGAAUCGAAAGUACGAGAAUUCUGUCGCAAUUUGUUCUUUAAAAAGGUUAGGCUUUCGAAAUCGGAUUUGAAAGGGAUCAAAGAAAUGGCAGGGGAAGGUUCCAUGUUCAAGUUUCUCAAGCCUAGGCUCCGUCCACAGCCUAUUGACAUCCAGGCCGCCGCCGCGUGGGGCGUCGCUGCCACCACCACCGCUCUCUGGCUCAUACAGCCAUUUGAUUGGUUGAAGAAGACCUUUUUGGAGAAACCAGAGCCGGAAGAGAGGUGAAUGUCUCUUUAAAUUCUUAGAACGCUUCGAGAUUUUGUUUAUAUUGUCUACGAGAGAAUGAUGAAAAGAGUGAAACUUGAAUGAUGAUAAUAAUGUAGUAUAACUUUGUGGUUUAUUGAUAUGAGAAUAUGGUCUCUUUUGGCAUCA